UAUUAGAUGGGCCCGCGUCGGAUUAGCUAGUUGGUGAGGUAAUGGCUCACCAAGGCGACGAUCCGUAGCUGGUCUGAGAGGAUGAUCAGCCACACUGGGACUGAGACACGGCCCAGACUCCUACGGGAGGCAGCAGUAGGGAAUAUUGGACAAUGGGCGAAAGCCUGAUCCAGCCAUGCCGCGUGAGUGAAGAAGGCCUUAGGGUUGUAAAGCUCUUUUGGCGGGGACGAUAAUGACGGUACCCGCAGAAUAAGCCCCGGCUAACUUCGUGCCAGCAGCCGCGGUAAUACGAAGGGGGCUAGCGUUGUUCGGAAUCACUGGGCGUAAAGCGCACGCAGGCGGACUGAUAAGUCGGGGGUGAAAUCCCGGGGCUCAACCUCGGAAUUGCCUUCGAUACUGUUAGUCUCGAGUCCGGGAGAGGUGAGUGGAAUUCCUAGUGUAGAGGUGAAAUUCGUAGAUAUUAGGAAGAACACCAGUGGC
This 480-nucleotide ribosomal RNA is filed under the name uncultured bacterium. RNAcentral's name for it is "bacterial SSU rRNA". It matches the Rfam family "Bacterial small subunit ribosomal RNA", at positions 219 to 716 of the family's 1533-position model. The record is from RNAcentral.